UUAUUAUGAUGAUAUUCCGCUUGAAGGUCCGUGUUUCUGAAACAUCUAUGAUUUUUGUGGAACUUCUGAUUCU
This is a small nucleolar RNA of Sorex araneus (European shrew), 73 nucleotides long. RefSeq annotates it as small nucleolar RNA SNORD18. The record is from RefSeq and is a predicted model, not a curated record. The transcript has a single exon. Lineage: Eukaryota; Metazoa; Chordata; Mammalia; Eulipotyphla; Soricidae.